This 73-nucleotide transfer RNA is filed under the name Danio rerio (zebrafish). It matches the Rfam family "tRNA". From Rfam's summary of the family: Transfer RNA (tRNA) molecules are approximately 80 nucleotides in length. The record is from Rfam by way of RNAcentral. Lineage: Eukaryota; Metazoa; Chordata; Actinopteri; Cypriniformes; Danionidae.
GGCCCAGUGGCUCAAUUGAUUAAGCAUUUGCGUUUUAAGCUUAAGGUUGUGGGUUCAAAUCCCACUUAAACCA